ACAUCAUAUGUGCGCGUGCGUGCGGAGGGGACGUACGCGCUAUGUGCACGUCCCAUGUGUGCAUCCGCACUAUGUGCAUGUCCCGUGCGUGUGUGCGUUCGAAGGAGAUGUGCGCGUUGUGUGCAUGUCCCAUGCAUUCUGGCAUACGAAUGGGGCUUGCACGCUAUUCGCACUGCCCACGGCCACUGUGUGUGUUAUGCGCAUGCCCCACAGCCACUACGUGCGCUGUGCGCACACCCACGGCCACUGUGCGCAUUGCUCGCGGCCACUAUGCGGGCAUGUGCACGUGUACAGUGCCCAACACUCUUGUUGGUAAACCUGGUUUCCACAGGAUUUUUCGCUGCGAACUUGUUUUCUCCUGUUUCGCCAUUUUUUGAUUUU
RNAcentral lists this long non-coding RNA (381 nucleotides) under Carica papaya (papaya). RNAcentral's name for it is "long non-coding RNA (CPAP_LNC013178)". The record is from RNAcentral. Lineage: Eukaryota; Viridiplantae; Streptophyta; Magnoliopsida; Brassicales; Caricaceae.